Molecule: ribosomal RNA, 430 nt
Filed under: uncultured bacterium
Lineage: Bacteria
Description: partial 16S ribosomal RNA
Rfam family: Bacterial small subunit ribosomal RNA
Source: RNAcentral
CCUACGGGGGGCUGCAGUGGGGAAUUGUUCGCAAUGGGCGCAAGCCUGACGACGCAACGCCGCGUGGAGGAUGAAGACCUUCGGGUCGUAAACCCUAGAGAGUCCGCAAUCGGUAUCGAGGGAAGAAGCCCCGGCUAACUCUGUGCCAGCAGCCGCGGUAAUACAGGGGGGGCAAGCGUAGGUCGGAAUUACUGGGCGUAAAGGGUCUGUAGGUGGCCAACUAAGUCAGACGUGAAAUCCCUCAGCUUAACUGGGGAACUGCGUCUGAUACUGGAUGGCUUGAGUGUGGGAGAGGAAUGCGGAAUUCCAGGUGUAGCGGUGAAAUGCGUAGAUAUCUGGAGGAACACCGGUGGCGAAGGCGGCAUUCUGGACAUACUGACACUGAGAGACGAAAGCCGGGGAGCAAACGGGAUUAGAUACCCUGGUAGUC